GAUGAACGCUGGCGGCGUGCCUAAUACAUGCAAGUCGAGCGAACAGACGAGGAGCUUGCUCCUCUGACGUUAGCGGCGGACGGGUGAGUAACACGUGGAUAACCUACCUAUAAGACUGGGAUAACUUCGGGAAACCGGAGCUAAUACCGGAUAAUAUAUUGAACCGCAUGGUUCAAUAGUGAAAGACGGUUUUGCUGUCACUUAUAGAUGGAUCCGCGCCGCAUUAGCUAGUUGGUAAGGUAACGGCUUACCAAGGCAACGAUGCGUAGCCGACCUGAGAGGGUGAUCGGCCACACUGGAACUGAGACACGGUCCAGACUCCUACGGGAGGCAGCAGUAGGGAAUCUUGCACAAUGGGCGAAAGCCUGACGCAGCAACGCCGCGUGAGUGAUGAAGGUCUUCGGAUCGUAAAACCCUGUUAUUAGGGAAGAACAAAUGUGUAAGUAACUAUGCAUGUCUUGACGGUACCUAAUCAGAAAGCCACGGCUAACUACGUG
RNAcentral lists this ribosomal RNA (497 nucleotides) under uncultured bacterium. RNAcentral describes it as "partial 16S ribosomal RNA". It matches the Rfam family "Bacterial small subunit ribosomal RNA", at positions 28 to 507 of the family's 1533-position model. The record is from RNAcentral.